This 188-nucleotide unclassified non-coding RNA is filed under the name Haliotis rubra (blacklip abalone). Its description in RNAcentral is "uncharacterized LOC124286884, transcript variant X1". Lineage: Eukaryota; Metazoa; Mollusca; Gastropoda; Lepetellida; Haliotidae. The record is from RNAcentral.
GGAGAUGUUUAGUUUAAUGAGCACUCCCUUGCUUGGCGCCAUAUUGUUUUUUGCCGUAAAGUGUUGGAUGUGAGAUAGCAUGCGAGAGGACAGAAGUUAUAAAUUCACAGAGAUAUAUCGAUGUUUAUUGCUGGGAGACACACUCUUCAGAACUCCAUGAUCCAUACUUCCUUGUGUUUGGGAAUAAA